This 284-nucleotide long non-coding RNA is filed under the name Vigna radiata. RNAcentral describes it as "long non-coding RNA (VRAD_LNC011188)". The record is from RNAcentral. Lineage: Eukaryota; Viridiplantae; Streptophyta; Magnoliopsida; Fabales; Fabaceae.
CACGAAACUCGGAAGAAACAUUGUAUAAGUCGUAGGGAUGGGAGUGGAACUCACAGGUAUCUUCUUUUGAUCAAACACUGUUUUGCUUAACUACUUGGUGAGAAAUUGAGUUUGGGUUGAGUCUCCAAUUUUGUCUUGGAACUGUUUUAACUGGAGAGUAAGUCAACUAUAUUUAAGUGAUGGGACAUGGUUGAGCUCUUUCUUCUCUCCUCUUCCCAAGCUUAGACCUAAACUCGUUAACAUUUGCCAUCAUGGUAGGAUCUUGGGGGAUUUUCCUGUCCUCC